CCAUUUCAUCGGUUCGAACCUAUGAACCAAAAAAAAACAUGUUAAAACUUCAGCAACGGAUCUCUUGGUUCUCGCAUCGAUGAAGAACGCAGCGAAAUGCGAUAAGUAGUGUGAAUUGCAGAAUUCAGUGAAUCAUCGAAUCUUUGAACGCACAUUGCGCCUUUCGGUAUUCCGGAGGGCAUGCCUGUUCGAGAGUCAUUAACAACCAGUUCAAUCCCCUUUUAGAAAUAUUUCGCGGAUUGGUUAUUGGUGAAUGAGGGGAUCCGUGCAUAACGUUGAAUCACCUCACCACCGAAAUUCAGAGGCGGUUUGUCCCCACGUGUUUGUGGCGUUGUAAAAGCUUUACCAGCACUAUUCGCUCGCAUCGUGGGUCCACUGCUUGCCAUUGGAGAAAUCCCCAUUCAUCAAAGGUGACCUCGGAUCAGGU
Molecule: ribosomal RNA, 427 nt
Filed under: uncultured Humaria
Lineage: Eukaryota; Fungi; Ascomycota; Pezizomycetes; Pezizales; Pyronemataceae
Description: eukaryotic LSU rRNA
Rfam family: 5.8S ribosomal RNA (bases 45-198)
Source: RNAcentral